This 484-nucleotide ribosomal RNA is filed under the name uncultured bacterium. RNAcentral's name for it is "partial 16S ribosomal RNA". It matches the Rfam family "Bacterial small subunit ribosomal RNA", at positions 30 to 507 of the family's 1533-position model. The record is from RNAcentral.
AUUGAACGCUGGCGGCAGGCCUAACACAUGCAAGUCGAGCGGAUGAGUGGAGCUUGCUCCAUGAUUCAGCGGCGGACGGGUGAGUAAUGCCUAGGAAUCUGCCUGGUAGUGGGGGACAACGUUUCGAAAGGAACGCUAAUACCGCAUACGUCCUACGGGAGAAAGUGGGGGAUCUUCGGACCUCACGCUAUCAGAUGAGCCUAGGUCGGAUUAGCUAGUUGGUGAGGUAAAGGCUCACCAAGGCGACGAUCCGUAACUGGUCUGAGAGGAUGAUCAGUCACACUGGAACUGAGACACGGUCCAGACUCCUACGGGAGGCAGCAGUGGGGAAUAUUGGACAAUGGGCGAAAGCCUGAUCCAGCCAUGCCGCGUGUGUGAAGAAGGUCUUCGGAUUGUAAAGCACUUUAAGUUGGGAGGAAGGGCAGUAAGUUAAUACCUUGCUGUUUCGACGUUACCAACAGAAUAAGCACCGGCUAACUUCGUG